CUGUCAGGGGAUCGCCAUCCGUCAGCGCGUUGCGCCCACGGAUGCGUUUUGC
RNAcentral lists this small RNA (52 nucleotides) under Albidovulum aquaemixtae. Its description in RNAcentral is "Defluviimonas aquaemixtae ffh sRNA". It matches the Rfam family "ffh sRNA". The record is from Rfam by way of RNAcentral. Lineage: Bacteria; Pseudomonadati; Pseudomonadota; Alphaproteobacteria; Rhodobacterales; Paracoccaceae.